UCCAGUGGUCAACUGCAUGUAGACUACACCAGGUGGAAAAGCAGUAUGGGCCUGUGCUCCUUGGAGGAUGUGACAGGGGCUGAGCCUUGUGGACAAGACUCUCUUACCAAGGCGUUGUGUGAAAAAUGCACGUUAGAAUGAUAUGGAACCUUCUAGAUACAGCCACGUAUUCAAGGUACAAAUAUGCCAACAAUCAGCACAUCUAUUCCACGUUGCCUUGAAGGUCUCCUUCUUAGCUGCACAGCAAGACGAGGAAAACAACAGAAGGGAUCGGGCCCAGAAGGAAGAUGCCCAACUGUCAUUCAGAGAUGACAUUAUCUUCUACAUAGAAGACCCAGGAGAACCCGCGGAAAGAUGACUAAGA
This is a long non-coding RNA of Orcinus orca (killer whale), 364 nucleotides long. RefSeq lists it as uncharacterized. Lineage: Eukaryota; Metazoa; Chordata; Mammalia; Artiodactyla; Delphinidae. The transcript is spliced from 2 exons. The record is from RefSeq and is a predicted model, not a curated record.